GACUACUGGGGUAUCUAAUCCCGUUUGCUACCCUAGCUUUCGUGUCUGAGCGUCAGAAAUGGCCUAGGAGGCCGCUUUCGCCACUGGUGUUCCUCCGGAUAUCUACGCAUUUCACCACUACACCCGGAAUUCCACCUCCCUCUUCCAUUCUCUAGUCUGGCAGUUUUGAACGACCUCUCCCAGUUAAGCCGGGAGCUUUCACAUCCAACUUACCAAACCGCCUGCACACGCUUUACGCCCAAUAAAUCCGGAUAACGCUUGCCUCCUACGUUUUACCGCGGCUGCUGGCACGUAGUUCGCCGAGGCUUAUUCUGGAGAUACUGUCCUUUCUCAUCUCUCCUAAAAGCGCUUUACAACCCGAAGGCCGUCAUCGCGCACGCGGCGUUGCUGGAUCAGGCUUUUGCCCAUUGUCCAAUAUUCCCCACUGCAGCCACCCGUAGG
Molecule: ribosomal RNA, 441 nt
Filed under: uncultured Anaerolineaceae bacterium
Lineage: Bacteria; Bacillati; Chloroflexota; Anaerolineae; Anaerolineales; Anaerolineaceae
Description: partial 16S ribosomal RNA
Source: RNAcentral